This 163-nucleotide small nuclear RNA is filed under the name Microcebus murinus (gray mouse lemur). Its description in RNAcentral is "U1 spliceosomal RNA (ENSMICG00000043384.1)". It matches the Rfam family "U1 spliceosomal RNA". From Rfam's summary of the family: U1 is a small nuclear RNA (snRNA) component of the spliceosome (involved in pre-mRNA splicing). Its 5' end forms complementary base pairs with the 5' splice junction, thus defining the 5' donor site of an intron. The record is from RNAcentral. Lineage: Eukaryota; Metazoa; Chordata; Mammalia; Primates; Cheirogaleidae.
AUAUUUCCCUGGCAGGGGAGACACCAUGAUCACAAAGAUCAUCUUCCCAGGGCGAGGCUGAUCCAUUGCACUCCAGAUGGGCUGACCCCUGUGAUUUCCCCAAAUGUGAGGAACUCAACUGCAUAACUUGUGGUAGUUGGAAACUGUGUUUGCUUUCUUCCCU